GACGAACGCUGGCGGCGUGCUUAACACAUGCCAGUCGAACGGAAAGGCCCUGCUUUUGUGGGGUGCUCGAGUGGCGAACGGGUGAGUAACACGUGAGUAACCUGCCCUUGACUUUGGGAUAACUUCAGGAAACUGGGGCUAAUACCGGAUAGGAGCUCCUGCUGCAUGGUGGGGGUUGGAAAGUUUCGGCGGUUGGGGAUGGACUCGCGGGUUAUCAGCUUGUUGGUGGGGUAGUGGCUUACCAAGGCUUUGACGGGUAGCCGGCCUGGGAGGGUGACCGGCCACAUUGGGACUGAGAUACGGCCCAGACUCCUACGGGAGGCAGCAGGGGGGAACAUUGCACAAUGGGCGGAAGCCUGAUGCAGCAACGCCGCGUGCGGGAUGACGGCCUUCGGGUUGUAAACCGCUUUCGCCUGUGACGAAGCGUGAGUGACGGUAAUGGGUAAAGAAGCACCGGCUAACUACGUG
Molecule: ribosomal RNA, 468 nt
Filed under: uncultured bacterium
Lineage: Bacteria
Description: partial 16S ribosomal RNA
Rfam family: Bacterial small subunit ribosomal RNA
Source: RNAcentral